RNAcentral lists this ribosomal RNA (72 nucleotides) under Pleochaeta shiraiana. RNAcentral describes it as "partial 28S ribosomal RNA". It matches the Rfam family "Eukaryotic large subunit ribosomal RNA", at positions 1 to 71 of the family's 3401-position model. Lineage: Eukaryota; Fungi; Ascomycota; Leotiomycetes; Helotiales; Erysiphaceae. The record is from RNAcentral.
UUGACCUCGAAUCAGGUAGGGAUACCCGCUGAACUUAAGCAUAUCAAUAAGCGGAGGAAAAGAAACCAACCG